CGUGGUGAACCUGCGGAGGGAUCAUUACCGAGUUUACAACUCCCAAACCCCUGUGAACAUACCAAUUGUUGCCUCGGCGGAUCAGCCCGCUCCCGGUAAAACGGGACGGCCCGCCAGAGGACCCCUAAACUCUGUUUCUAUAUGUAACUUCUGAGUAAAACCAUAAAUAAAUCAAAACUUUCAACAACGGAUCUCUUGGUUCUGGCAUCGAUGAAGAACGCAGCAAAAUGCGAUAAGUAAUGUGAAUUGCAGAAUUCAGUGAAUCAUCGAAUCUUUGAACGCACAUUGCGCCCGCCAGUAUUCUGGCGGGCAUGCCUGUUCGAGCGUCAUUUCAACCCUCAAGCCCUCGGGUUUGGUGUUGGGACUCGCGAGUUAAAUCGCGUUCCCCAAAUUGAUUGGCGGUCACGUCGAGCUUCCAUAGCGUAGUAGUAAAACCCUCGUUACUGGUAAUCGUCGCGGCCACGCCGUUAAACCCCAACUUCUGAAUGUUGACCUCG
This 497-nucleotide ribosomal RNA is filed under the name Fusarium sp. FLS-2010. RNAcentral describes it as "eukaryotic LSU rRNA". The stretch from base 176 to 329 matches the Rfam family "5.8S ribosomal RNA". Lineage: Eukaryota; Fungi; Ascomycota; Sordariomycetes; Hypocreales; Nectriaceae. The record is from RNAcentral.